This 509-nucleotide ribosomal RNA is filed under the name uncultured bacterium. RNAcentral's name for it is "bacterial LSU rRNA". It matches the Rfam family "Bacterial large subunit ribosomal RNA", at positions 670 to 1176 of the family's 2925-position model. The record is from RNAcentral.
AGCGAAAGCGAGUCUGAAUAGGGCGAAUAAGUACGUCGCAUGACGACCCGAAACCAGGUGAUCUAUCCAUGAGCAGGUUGAAGGUAAGGUAACACUUACUGGAGGACCGAACCCGUGAAUGUUGAAAAUUCUGGGAUGACUUGUGGAUAGGGGUGAAAGGCCAAUCAAACCUGGACAUAGCUGGUUCUCCGCGAAAACUAUUUAGGUAGUGCGUUCGAUGUAUUCCUUGGGGGGUAGAGCACUGGAUGGAUGCGGGCUGCGCGAGUGGUACCAAUUCUAACCAAACUCCGAAUACCCAAGAGAACUAUCGGGCAGACACACGGCGGGUGCUAACGUCCGUCGUGAAAAGGGAAACAACCCUAACCAUCAUCUAAGGCCCCCAAGUUCUGGCUAAGUGGGAAACGAUGUGGGAUUGCUUUGACAACCAGGAUGUUGGCUUAGAAGCAGCCAUCAUUUAAAGAAAGCGUAACAGCUCACUGGUCAAGCGAUCCUGCGCGGAAAAAUGUAAC